Molecule: RNase P RNA, 378 nt
Filed under: Gemmatimonadota bacterium
Lineage: Bacteria; Pseudomonadati; Gemmatimonadota
Description: Gemmatimonadetes bacterium RNase P RNA component class A
Rfam family: Bacterial RNase P class A
About the family: Ribonuclease P (RNase P) is a ubiquitous endoribonuclease, found in archaea, bacteria and eukarya as well as chloroplasts and mitochondria. Its best characterised activity is the generation of mature 5'-ends of tRNAs by cleaving the 5'-leader elements of precursor-tRNAs. Cellular RNase Ps are ribonucleoproteins.
Source: RNAcentral
CAAGUCGACCAGGCGAUCGCGUUCGCUAAGCAAGGCGGACGAGGAAAGUCCGAGCACCGCAGGGCGGGAUGCCUGCUAACGGCAGGGGGCAGUGAUGCCACGGAAAGUGUCACAGAAAACACACGGCCGAUCCCUUCGGGGAGGCAAAGGUGAAAAGGCGAGGUAAGAGCUCACCGCGGUCCGGGUAACCGGGCCGGCAGGACAAACCCCAUCUGGUGCAAGACCGAAUAGGAGAGGAGAGACGGCCCGUCUCGACCGCCGGGAAACCGGAGACUCUCGGGUUAGGUCGCACGAGGCGGCUGGCGACAGCCGUCCCAGAUAGAUGAUCGCCACCUUCAUCGCGAAGGCACAGAACUCGGCUUACGGUCGGCUUGGACG